Molecule: non-coding RNA, 1085 nt
Organism: Heterocephalus glaber (naked mole-rat)
Lineage: Eukaryota; Metazoa; Chordata; Mammalia; Rodentia; Bathyergidae
Source: the annotation of a RefSeq genome assembly
UGUGUUCCAUGUUCCAGAGCCCAUGACUCCCCCCAGCAUCUUCCCACUGAGCCUCCCACGGUGCCAGUCCAGAGAUCCUGUGGUCCUCGGCUGCCUGAUCAAGGAUUUCUUCCCCCCGGGACCUGUGAGCGUGACCUGGAGCAAGCCUGGGGAACAAGUGAUCAUCAUAAACUUCCCACCUUCCCUGACUGAGGAGGGGAGCCAAUACAUCAUAACCAGCCUGCUGAGCCUGCCAGCCGCCGAGUGCCCAGAGGACGCAAACAUCACAUGCACCGUGCAACAUGCCACAAAUGACCCCAUAGAAGUGGUCGUGCCAUGCUUAGGUCCACCAUGGUGUAAAUGCUGCCGGCCCAGACUGUCACUGCAGGGGCCAGCCCUUAAGGACCUGCUCCUGGGCUCUGAGGCCUACCUCACAUGCACACUGAGCGGCCUGAAGAGCAGCCUGGGGGCCACCUUCACCUGGGAGUCCACAGACGGGAAGACCCCCAUCCAGAAGCGUGCUGAGCAUGACCACUGUGGCUGCUGCAGCGUCUCCAGUGUGCUGCCUGUCUGUGCCGAACUCUGGAACAGUGGGCAGAACUUCACCUGCACGGCCACCCACCCUGACUUAAAAGGCAACAAGACAGAAACCAUCACAAAGCCUAAAGAGAACUUGCAGCCCCAGGUCCAUCUGCUGCCGCCGCCGUCGGAAGAGCUGGCUCUGAACGAGCUGGUGUCACUGACAUGUCUGGUGCGGGGCUUCAGCCCUAAGGACGUGCUGGUGCGCUGGCUGCAUGGGAGCCAAGAGCUGCCCCGCAGCAGCUACCUGGUGUGGUGUACCCUGGAGGAGCCCAACGAGGGUGCUACCACCUAUGCUGUGACCAGUGUGCUGCGGGUGACAGCCGCGGACUGGAAGCAGGGGGACAACUUCUCUUGCACGGUGGGCCACCAGUCCCUGCCCCUGCUCUUCACCCAGAAGACCAUCGACCACCACUCGGGUAAACCCACCCAUGUCAACGUGUCUGUGAUCAUGUCGGAGGCAGAUGGCACUUGCUAUUGAGCCUCCCUGCCCACCCUGCCCUUUCAAUAAACACCAUGCUCACCCA